AAAGCAACUAAAUCCAGGAGCUGUUGCUCCUUUGUCAAUACAGCGGCUCAAAUAGAAGUUCUGACAGCAAUCAGGUCUUGUUGACUGUGGAGAGCUGUGCUGUGCCCCUCAAAGUGAAUUUGGGGGUUCUACACCC
Small nucleolar RNA from Sorex fumeus (smoky shrew), 136 nucleotides. RefSeq annotates it as small nucleolar RNA SNORA68. The transcript has a single exon. NCBI's taxonomy places the organism in Eukaryota, Metazoa, Chordata, Mammalia, Eulipotyphla, Soricidae. The record is from RefSeq and is a predicted model, not a curated record.